UGAAAUAAUGAUUGAGAAUUAACAUGCAGAGAUUUUACUCAUACACAGCUGAUUCA
This 56-nucleotide small nucleolar RNA is filed under the name Ferroplasma acidiphilum. Its description in RNAcentral is "C/D box methylation guide snoRNA". The record is from RNAcentral. Lineage: Archaea; Methanobacteriati; Thermoplasmatota; Thermoplasmata; Thermoplasmatales; Ferroplasmaceae.